This 324-nucleotide ribosomal RNA is filed under the name uncultured Pseudoalteromonas sp. RNAcentral describes it as "bacterial SSU rRNA". It matches the Rfam family "Bacterial small subunit ribosomal RNA", at positions 100 to 433 of the family's 1533-position model. Lineage: Bacteria; Pseudomonadati; Pseudomonadota; Gammaproteobacteria; Alteromonadales; Pseudoalteromonadaceae. The record is from RNAcentral.
GGGGUGAGUAAUGCUUGGGUAUCUGCCUUGAGGUGGGGGACAACAGUUGGAAACGACUGCUAAUACCGCAUAAUCUCUACGGAGACAAAGUGGGGGGACCUUCAGGGCCUCUCAGCCACAAAGAUGAACCCAAGAUGGGAUUAGCUACGUUGGUAAGGUAACGGCUUACCAAGGCGACGAUCCCUAGCUGGUCUGAGAGGAUGACCAGCCACACUGGAACUGAGACACGGUCCGACUCCUCGGAGCAGAGUGGGGAUAUUGCCAAUGGGGGAAACCUGAUGCAGCCAUGCCGCGUGUAUACGACAGCUUCGAGUCGUAAAGCAC